GGAACCCUUCAUUGCUGAGUCAGCCAAUUGAUCGGAAUUGGCUGUUGACAGCUCCAAGUUUAUUCUGUCAAUUCUGUCAACUGAUGUUUGAAAAAUUAAAAAAUGCCUCAUUCUUAUUUUUAUUUGGCCGUUUUGUUAAAAAAGUUUUUCACUUAUCUCGAGCACUCUCAAAAUCAAAGUUUAAUUUCAGCGUCAGUCCUCGAUCCCGGAUUGAUUUAAAUUUUGCAAAUAGAAUAGACCGUCACAUAAAGUACUAACCCAUUCUGGAUUCAUUGUUGCAAUUUUUUUUUGGACGUUGAUGCACUAUGCUCACUACAAACAAGUGGCCUUUACGACACCAAUCAAUGAUUGUUACGCACGGAGCCCGUUCACCAUUUAGGACGAGUAACCGAAAUCGUGGACAAAGAAAAAGACAAUAUUACAAUAGAAAAUUAAAAUUUAUAAAGUAAAA
Long non-coding RNA from Drosophila biarmipes, 451 nucleotides. RefSeq lists it as uncharacterized. The transcript is spliced from 2 exons. The record is from RefSeq and is a predicted model, not a curated record. Lineage: Eukaryota; Metazoa; Arthropoda; Insecta; Diptera; Drosophilidae.